RNAcentral lists this ribosomal RNA (368 nucleotides) under uncultured archaeon. Its description in RNAcentral is "bacterial SSU rRNA". It matches the Rfam family "Archaeal small subunit ribosomal RNA", at positions 497 to 868 of the family's 1478-position model. The record is from RNAcentral.
GAUUAUUGGGCCUAAGCAUCCGUAGCCGGUCUUGCAAGUCUUCCGUUAAAUCCACCUGCUUAACAGAUGGGCUGCGGAAGAUACUACAAGACUAGGAGGCGGGAGAGGCAAGCGGUACUCAGUGGGUAGGGGUAAAAUCCUCUGAUCCAUUGAAGACCACCAGUGGCGAAGGCGGCUUGCCAGAACGCGCUCGACGGUGAGGGAUGAAAGCUGGGGGAGCAAACCGGAUUAGAUACCCGGGUAGUCCCAGCUGUAAACGAUGCANACUCGGUGAUGGGCCGGCUUCAUGCCGGCUCAGUGCCGCAGGGAAGCCGUUAAGUCUGCCGCCUGGGGAGUACGGUCGCAAGACUGAAACUUCAAGGAAUUGG